GGGUUGUGAGGUUAAGCGACUAAGCGUACACGGUGGAUGCCCUGGCAGUCAGAGGCGAUGAAGGGCGUGCUAAUCUGCGAUAAGCGCCGGUAAGGUGAUAUGAACCGUUAUAACCGGCGAUACCCGAAUGGGGAAACCCAGUGUGAUUCGUCACACUAUCAUUAACUGAAUCCAUAGGUUAAUGAGGCGAACCGGGGGAACUGAAACAUCUAAGUACCCCGAGGAAAAGAAAUCAACCGAGAUUCCCCCAGUAGCGGCGAGCGAACGGGGAGGAGCCCAGAGCCUGAAUCAGCAUGUGUGUUAGUGGAAGCGUCUGGAAAGGCGCGCGAUACAGGGUGACAGCCCCGUACACAAAAGCGCAUGUGCUGUGAGCUCGAUGAGUAGGGCGGGACACGUGGUAUCCUGUCUGAAUAUGGGGGGACCAUCCUCCAAGGCUAAAUACUCCUGACUGACCGAUAGUGAACCAGUACCGUGAGGGAAAGGCGAAAAGAACCCCGGCGAGGGGAGUGAAAAAGAACCUGAAACCGUGUACGUACAAGCAGUGGGAGCNNGUGACUGCGUACCUUUUGUAUAAUGGGUCAGCGACUUAUAUUCUGUAGCAAGGUUAACCGAAUAGGGGAGCCGGAGGGAAACCGAGUCUUAAUUGGGCGUUAAGUUGCAGGGUAUAGACCCGAAACCCGGUGAUCUAGCCAUGGGCAGGUUGAAGGUUGGGUAACACUAACUGGAGGACCGAACCGACUAAUGUUGAAAAAUUAGCGGAUGACCUGUGGCUGGGGGUGAAAGGCCAAUCAAACCGGGAGAUAGCUGGUUCUCCCCGAAAGCUAUUUAGGUAGCGCCUCGUGAAUUCAUCUCCGGGGGUAGAGCACUGUUUCGGCUAGGGGGCCAUCCCGGCUUACCAACCCGAUGCAAACUGCGAAUACCGGAGAAUGUUAUCACGGGAGACACACGGCGGGUGCUAACGUCCGUCGUGAAGAGGGAAACAACCCAGACCGCCAGCUAAGGUCCCAAAGUCAUGGUUAAGUGGGAAACGAUGUGGGAAGGCCCAGACAGCCAGGAUGUUGGCUUAGAAGCAGCCAUCAUUUAAAGAAAGCGUAAUAGCUCACUGGUCGAGUCGGCCUGCGCGGAAGAUGUAACGGGGCUAAACCAUGCACCGAAGCUGCGGCAGCGACGCUUAUGCGUUGUUGGGUAGGGGAGCGUUCUGUAAGCCUGUGAAGGUGUGUCGUGAGGCAUGCUGGAGGUAUCAGAAGUGCGAAUGCUGACAUAAGUAACGAUAAAGCGGGUGAAAAGCCCGCUCGCCGGAAGACCAAGGGUUCCUGUCCAACGUUAAUCGGGGCAGGGUGAGUCGACCCCUAAGGCGAGGCCGAAAGGCGUAGUCGAUGGGAAACGGGUUAAUAUUCCCGUACUUGGUGUUACUGCGAAGGGGGGACGGAGAAGGCUAUGUUGGCCGGGCGACGGUUGUCCCGGUUUAAGCGUGUAGGUGUGUGUUCCAGGUAAAUCCGGUUCACUUUAACACUGAGGCGUGAUGACGAGGCACUACGGUGCUGAAGUAACAAAUGCCCUGCUUCCAGGAAAAGCCUCUAAGCAUCAGGUAACAUCAAAUCGUACCCCAAACCGACACAGGUGGUCAGGUAGAGAAUACCAAGGCGCUUGAGAGAACUCGGGUGAAGGAACUAGGCAAAAUGGUGCCGUAACUUCGGGAGAAGGCACGCUGACACGUAGGUGAAGUGAUUUACUCAUGGAGCUGAAGUCAGUCGAAGAUACCAGCUGGCUGCAACUGUUUAUUAAAAACACAGCACUGUGCAAACACGAAAGUGGACGUAUACGGUGUGACGCCUGCCCGGUGCCGGAAGGUUAAUUGAUGGGGUCAGCGCAAGCGAAGCUCCUGAUCGAAGCCCCGGUAAACGGCGGCCGUAACUAUAACGGUCCUAAGGUAGCGAAAUUCCUUGUCGGGUAAGUUCCGACCUGCACGAAUGGCGUAAUGAUGGCCAGGCUGUCUCCACCCGAGACUCAGUGAAAUUGAACUCGCUGUGAAGAUGCAGUGUACCCGCGGCAAGACGGAAAGACCCCGUGAACCUUUACUAUAGCUUGACACUGAACAUUGAGCCUUGAUGUGUAGGAUAGGUGGGAGGCUUUGAAGUGUGGACGCCAGUCUGCAUGGAGCCGACCUUGAAAUACCACCCUUUAAUGUUUGAUGUUCUAACGUGGACCCGUGAUCCGGGUUGCGGACAGUGUCUGGUGGGUAGUUUGACUGGGGCGGUCUCCUCCUAAAGAGUAACGGAGGAGCACGAAGGUUGGCUAAUCCUGGUCGGACAUCAGGAGGUUAGUGCAAUGGCAUAAGCCAGCUUGACUGCGAGCGUGACGGCGCGAGCAGGUGCGAAAGCAGGUCAUAGUGAUCCGGUGGUUCUGAAUGGAAGGGCCAUCGCUCAACGGAUAAAAGGUACUCCGGGGAUAACAGGCUGAUACCGCCCAAGAGUUCAUAUCGACGGCGGUGUUUGGCACCUCGAUGUCGGCUCAUCACAUCCUGGGGCUGAAGUAGGUCCCAAGGGUAUGGCUGUUCGCCAUUUAAAGUGGUACGCGAGCUGGGUUUAGAACGUCGUGAGACAGUUCGGUCCCUAUCUGCCGUGGGCGCUGGAGAACUGAGGGGGGCUGCUCCUAGUACGAGAGGACCGGAGUGGACGCAUCACUGGUGUUCGGGUUGUCAUGCCAAUGGCACUGCCCGGUAGCUAAAUGCGGAAGAGAUAAGUGCUGAAAGCAUCUAAGCACGAAACUUGCCCCGAGAUGAGUUCUCCCUGAGACUUAAGGUCUCCUGAAGGAACGUUGAAGACGACGACGUUGAUAGGCCGGGUGUGUAAGCGCAGCGAUGCGUUGAGCUAACCGGUACUAAUGAACCGUGAGGCUUAACCUUACAACGCCGAAG
RNAcentral lists this ribosomal RNA (2917 nucleotides) under Salmonella enterica subsp. enterica serovar Dublin. Its description in RNAcentral is "bacterial LSU rRNA". It matches the Rfam family "Bacterial large subunit ribosomal RNA". The record is from RNAcentral. Lineage: Bacteria; Pseudomonadati; Pseudomonadota; Gammaproteobacteria; Enterobacterales; Enterobacteriaceae.